UGAAAGGCGCUUUCGGGUGUCGCUGAUGGAUGGACCCGCGGUGCAUUAGCUAGUUGGUGAGGUAACGGCUCACCAAGGCGACGAUGCAUAGCCGACCUGAGAGGGUGAUCGGCCACAUUGGGACUGAGACACGGCCCAAACUCCUACGGGAGGCAGCAGUAGGGAAUCUUCGGCAAUGGACGAAAGUCUGACCGAGCAACGCCGCGUGAGUGAAGAAGGUUUUCGGAUCGUAAAACUCUGUUGUUAGAGAAGAACAAGGAUGAGAGUAACUGUUCAUCCCUUGACGGUAUCUAACCAGAAAGCCACGGCUAACUACGUGCCAGCAGCCGCGGUAAUACGUAGGUGGCAAGCGUUGUCCGGAUUUAUUGGGCGUAAAGCGAGCGCAGGCGGUUUCUUAAGUCUGAUGUGAAAGCCCCCGGCUCAACCGGGGAGGGUCAUUGGAAACUGGGAGACUUGAGUGCAGAAGAGGAGAGUGGAAUUCCAUGUGUAGCGGUGAAAUGCGUAGAUAUAUGGAGGAACACCAGUGGCGAAGGCGGCUCUCUGGUCUGUAACUGACGCUGAGGCUCGAAAGCGUGGGGAGCAAACAGGAUUAGAUACCCUGGUAGUCCACGCCGUAAACGAUGAGUGCUAAGUGUUGGAGGGUUUCCGCCCUUCAGUGCUGCAGCUAACGC
This 671-nucleotide ribosomal RNA is filed under the name uncultured bacterium. RNAcentral describes it as "bacterial SSU rRNA". It matches the Rfam family "Bacterial small subunit ribosomal RNA", at positions 201 to 858 of the family's 1533-position model. The record is from RNAcentral.